RNAcentral lists this long non-coding RNA (629 nucleotides) under Anas platyrhynchos platyrhynchos (common mallard). RNAcentral's name for it is "lncRNA (ENSAPLG00000023123.1)". Lineage: Eukaryota; Metazoa; Chordata; Aves; Anseriformes; Anatidae. The record is from RNAcentral.
GGCUUUUUUUUUUUUUUUUUUUUUUUAAGAAUUUAAUGACCCAUUGCUGAAAAAAUUGUCAUGUGGAACCACCCCAAGGAUGCCCGACAGUAUGAGAUUGAAAGUGGCAGAACAUUCAUAGUUACCAAAACAUGUCCAAAAUAAUGUCAUUUAUAUACUCCAUUAACGGUUAAUUGAAAUAAAUGCUAACUGUACCAUACAAAAAUAUUUGGGCUCUGUCAUUUCUGGAAACAUCUGCUAUAUAGCAGUUAUUUGGGAAAUUAAAGCAGCCCACAAUGAAUUGGUUCCUCACGAUAUCUCUGUAUCUCUCUGAUAAGAGAGAUCUCUGCCCAUAGCAAACCGGGAGGUGUAUAACACUCUCAGUGCUUUCCGUUAGAUCUACCUUUAUAGACUUGAAGUAACUUUGUCUCAGGCAACCUUGGUUUAUUCUUAUUAUUUACAGUUCGUGAUGUCACUGAAGUGAGCUCUUUUCCACUGGGAAGAAGAAAUUUCACUGCAAUUCAGACAUGUUCCUAACAUAGCGAUCUACAGCAAAUUCAGAGGUGCCAAGCCCUGCCAGCCCAAGAUUUCAACCAGGAAAGGGGACCAUCCCAGCUUCUGGAGGGAGAAAAAAUGUUGGGCAUGGACAG